GGAAGGCAAAGCCUAUACAUGCACUCGACGGUAACAGGAAGAAGCUUGCUUCUUCGCUGACGAGUGGCGGACGGGUGAGUAAUGUCUGGGAAACUGCCUGAUGGAGGGGGAUAACUACUGGAAACGGUAGCUAAUACCGCAUAACGUCGCAAGACCAAAGAGGGGGACCUUCGGGCCUCUUGCCAUCGGAUGUGCCCAGAUGGGAUUAGUAAGUAGGUGGGGUAACGGCUCACCUAGGCGACGAUCCCUAGCUGGUCUGAGAGGAUGACCAGCCACACUGGAACUGAGACACGGUCCAGACUCCUACGGGAGGCAGCAGUGGGGAAUAUUGCACAAUGGGCGCAAGCCUGAUGCAGCCAUGCCGCGUGUAUGAAGAAGGCCUUCGGGUUGUAAAGUACUUUCAGCGGGGAGGAAGGGAGUAAAGUUAAUACCUUUGCUCAUUGACGUUACCCGCAGAAGAAGCACCGGCUAACUCCGUGCCAGCAGCCGCGGUAAUACGGAGGGUGCAAGCGUUAAUCGGAAUUACUGGGCGUAAAGCGCACGCAGGCGGUUUGUUAAGUCAGAUGUGAAAUCCCCGGGCUCAACCUGGGAACUGCAUCUGAUACUGGCAAGCUUGAGUCUCGUAGAGGGGGGUAGAAUUCCAGGUGUAGCGGUGAAAUGCGUAGAGAUCUGGAGGAAUACCGGUGGCGAAGGCGGCCCCCUGGACGAAGACUGACGCUCAGGUGCGAAAGCGUGGGGAGCAAACAGGAUUAGAUACCCUGGUAGUCCACGCCGUAGACGAUGUCGACAUGGGAGGUUGUGCCCUUGAGGCGUGGCUUCCGGAGCUAACGCGUUAAGUCGACCGCCUGGGGAGUACGGCCGCAAGGUUAAAACUCAAAUGAUUGACGGGGGCCCGCACAAGCGGUGGAGCAUGUGGUUUAAUUCGAUGCAACGCGGAGAGCUUACCUGGUCUUGACAUCCACGGAAGUUUCAGAGAUGAGAAUGUGCCUUCGGGACCGUGAGACAGUGCUGCAUGGCUGUCGUCAGCUCGUGUUGUGAAUGUAGAGUUAGUCCCGCACCGAGCGCAUCCUUAUCCUUUGUGCCAUGCGGUCCGGCCGGGACCUCAAGGAGACUGCCAUGAUCACCUGAGGAGGUGGGAUUGACGUCAAUCAUCUUGCCUUCAGACAGAGCUCACACAUGUACACAUGGGCCAGCCACAGGAGGACCCUCCGGAGCCACCCGCAACACUAAAAAGGCCCGUCUAUCCCCGAGAUGAAAAAUGUUCGAAACGUACGU
Molecule: ribosomal RNA, 1275 nt
Filed under: uncultured bacterium
Lineage: Bacteria
Description: partial 16S ribosomal RNA
Rfam family: Bacterial small subunit ribosomal RNA
Source: RNAcentral